ACGGUUGGUGGUUCUAGGGAAGUACGUAGUCCGCGUGUUGUGCGAGGUAAAGGCAGACCUCCAUCUCUAAGGAGAGCAUCCAGGAUGGAGAUAGACAUGCGAAAAGCUAAAGCAAAGACCAAGAAAGCACCAGCAAAAGGGAAGCGUAAAGAGCGGGAUGGAGGAGAUAUCCAAGUCGCGGAUAGAGGAGAUACACCAACCGUAGAAGUAUGCAGGAAUUUAUUUGGCCCUUCUGAGAUGGCUGUUCCAGAAAGAGAAAGCGUGGCUAUAGAUGUUACUGGAACCCAACCCUGAGAGCACUUUGUGAUGCAGAGUCAAGAAAGCAUUCAAUUUGGAUUAGAUGGAUCACAACCGUUGCAAUAAUGGGUUUGUUGUAAAACAUUUUGUGUAUUGAAUGUAUUGUAGGGGUUCUUUUUUUUAUUGAAUGUAUUUGAGGGAGGGACUUUGUUGUAACCAUGGAUUGAAUAUAUUUUGUGUGUAUUUGAUGUACUUUGUUGUUAUGGUUGGAUUGGAGGAACUUUGUUGUGUAUUGGAUAUAUUUUGUGUAUUUGAUGGACUUUGUUGUUAUGGUUGGGUUGGAGGAAAUUUGUUGUGUAUUUUGGAUAUUAUGUGUAUAUUUCAGGGACUUUGUUGUAAAUGUUGGGUUAGAGGAAAUUUGUUGUGUAUUUUGGAUAUUAUGUGUAUAUUUUGAGGGACUUUGUUGUAAAUGUUAGGUUGGAGGAAAUUUGUUGUGUAGUUCAUAUAUUUUGUGUAUUUGAGGAAUGGACUUUGUUGUAAAUGUUGGGUUGGAGGAAAUUUGUUGUGUAUUUCAUAUAUUUUGUAUUAAAGAAUUCAUGAUGAGUAAAGCAUUGCAGAAAAAUCUAUAUAAGCUUGAGUGGUUACCAUUUUCUUUUCUUUUGUUAUACUCUUGUUAUGGACACAAUGGUGUUGAACA
Long non-coding RNA from Juglans microcarpa x Juglans regia, 934 nucleotides. RefSeq lists it as uncharacterized. NCBI's taxonomy places the organism in Eukaryota, Viridiplantae, Streptophyta, Magnoliopsida, Fagales, Juglandaceae. The record is from RefSeq and is a predicted model, not a curated record. The transcript is spliced from 4 exons.